This is a long non-coding RNA of Lycium ferocissimum, 626 nucleotides long. RefSeq lists it as uncharacterized. Lineage: Eukaryota; Viridiplantae; Streptophyta; Magnoliopsida; Solanales; Solanaceae. The record is from RefSeq and is a predicted model, not a curated record. The transcript has 2 exons.
AAAAGCCUAUACAUAUGGCCUUUCAUCAAGCAAGAAAAUGUACUCACACACAAUUAGCUCUUCCUCUCAACAAUAUAAUCAAAUAGUCCAAAUUGUGUUAACAUGGCUAGGAAGUGUCAAUCUCACAAGCUAGCUAACUUUUUUGGCAUUCUCCUAGUAGCAGUACUGGCUGUUCAUACAUUUUGGUCUUCAAACACGGGAGCGAUGGCUGUGCGAGACCUACCAUUUGAAUUUGAAGUGUUUGAGCAGAUUCUACUCCCAGAUCUUACCAUAAAAAGUUGUGGCUAUGUUUGUAAAACUGAUGAGGACUGCAAACCACUUCAAGUUUGUUCAAGUUGUCGCUGGAGUUUGAGGGGAAGAUUGGCUUGCAUCCUUCCAAAAAAAUCCACUUGAAGGCCUCAUAUAUAUAUGUAUAAUAUUUGUGUCACAAUUGUAAGAUAAAGAAUAAGUGACUACUCGUACCAUACUAUAUAUCUAUCGUUCUGAAUAAAUAAAUGUAACGGAUAUCAUCUAGAUCUCCUACUAAGGUUAGUAUCGAUCUUUCAUGAUCCAUCACAUCACAUGUAUUAUGUAUUAUGUAUUAUGCAUUAUGUAUUAUGUGUUUUAAUGGACGAGUAUGUUCUGUA